CAGUCGUACCGGCGGAAAAUCAGCUCUUCGAGUGCGAACUUGUGGGCGUACGUGAGCUUUAACCGGCCUCGUUGUUUGCGAUGUUUGUGCUUUUUGGGUGUACUUUUUCGUAUGGUAGGCCAACGUCAGUCUCGGUCACCAUAAAAUGGCUGGAGGAAUGUAGCUUCGAUCUCGUAUUGAAGUGUUAUAGUCCGUUUGGUAGAUGUGAU
RNAcentral lists this ribosomal RNA (209 nucleotides) under Glomus sp. (unid). The record is from RNAcentral. Lineage: Eukaryota; Fungi; Glomeromycota; Glomeromycetes; Glomerales; Glomeraceae.